AUUGAACGCUGGCGGAAUGCUUUACACAUGCAAGUCGAACGGCAGCACGGACUUCGGUCUGGUGACGAGUGGCGAACGGGUGAGUAAUGUAUCGGAACGUGCCCAGUCGUGGGGGAUAACGUAGUGAAAAUUACGCUAAUACCGCAUACGAUCUAUGGAUGAAAGCGGGGGAUCGCAUGACCUCGCGCGAUUGGAGCGGCCGAUAUCAGAUUAGGUAGUUGGUGGGGUAAAGGCCCACCAAGCCAACGAUCUGUAGCUGGUCUGAGAGGACGACCAGGCACACUGGAGCUGAGACACGGUCCAGACUCCUACGGGAGGCAGCAGUGGGGAAUUUUGGACAAUGGGCGAAAGCCUGAUCCAGCCAUUCCGCGUGCAGGAUGAAGGCCCUCGGGUUGUAAACUGCUUUUGUACAGAACGAAAAGGUUUCUACUAAUACUAGGAGCUCAUGACGGUACUGUAAGAAUAAGCACCGGCUAACUACGUGCCAGCCGCCGCGGUAA
RNAcentral lists this ribosomal RNA (500 nucleotides) under uncultured bacterium. RNAcentral describes it as "partial 16S ribosomal RNA". It matches the Rfam family "Bacterial small subunit ribosomal RNA", at positions 30 to 523 of the family's 1533-position model. The record is from RNAcentral.